UACGUAGGGCGCGAGCGUUGUCCGGAUUUAUUGGGCGUAAAGAGCUCGUAGGCGGCUUGUCGCGUCUGCUGUGAAAACCCGAGGCUCAACCUCGGGCCUGCAGUGGGUACGGGCAGACUAGAGUGCGGGAGGGGAGAAUGGAAUUCCUGGUGUAGCGGUGGAAUGCGCAGAUAUCAGGAGGAACACCGAUGGCGAAGGCAGUUCUCUGGGCCGUAACUGACGCUGAGGAGUGAAAGCGUGGGGAGCGAACAGG
This 253-nucleotide ribosomal RNA is filed under the name uncultured bacterium. Its description in RNAcentral is "partial 16S ribosomal RNA". It matches the Rfam family "Bacterial small subunit ribosomal RNA", at positions 524 to 776 of the family's 1533-position model. The record is from RNAcentral.